Molecule: long non-coding RNA, 2973 nt
Organism: Schistocerca serialis cubense
Lineage: Eukaryota; Metazoa; Arthropoda; Insecta; Orthoptera; Acrididae
Exons: 2
Source: RefSeq, a predicted model, not a curated record
CUGGCACUGUCCUCUGUCCCAGCCCCAGUCUCCUUCAUUGUGUCCUACUAUUACUGUCUGAUCUCACUGUCACUGUCUCCCUUGUGCUUCCUCUUACUGCAACUAUCUCCAUUCAUUCUUUCCCACUGCUGCUGUCCCUUCUCACUGUCACUAUCUCUCUCUUCCUCACUGUCAUUGUUGCAGACUCUGCUUCUAUCACUGGCUCUCACCCACUUCCACUUUCUCCUUCUUUUCCUUGCACUGUUUUCUCACUGUCGACUGCAUUCCACUGCCGCUGUGUCUCUCUCUUUCUUUCACACUGCUGUUGUCUCCUAUGCUCUUUUUAUACCACAACCACUGUCUACUAUUUUCUAGUAUUUAUUACUUUUCCAUCUCUUUCCCACUGCCACUGUCUCCUCCUCUCUCAGCACAAACACUGCCAAAUUUUUUGGGAAAUUCUUUAAAGGUGCUGAGGAAGGCAGAAUGGGGCACUGAGGAACACUUUCACCUUUUUUUUGCUCCAAAAGAAGCUUUUUUCCUGCUGUUAAAGGACAUCUUGAAACUCCAAAAAUGUUGAGAAGGAUGCAGGAUGUCUAUAUACCAUACCACUGUGCUGACAAAUGGAUUACCACAUAGAGCCACAAAUAGAGAGAUUUGUUUACAAGUUAAUAAGCUGUCAGAUGAUAGAUUGAAUACCCACUGGUGGUGAUCGACCCACUGGUAUACACUUAAUUUCUCUGUCAAUUUUAUUUGGAGUUCCUUGAAAAUUCAGUCACAGUUUAAACCUUCAUGAAUUUUCUGAGAGAUAAAAAACUUCACGAUAACAAUUCUAACAAACAAAUGAAUUUAAAAAUGACAGCAAACAUUAUAAACUACUCAAGUUUUAAAUGGUCAUUCUUCUGCCUCAUGGCAGAACAGGGAUACAGUGAGAACUGCAUUCUGAUGGUUAGGAUUGAGCCAGAAUAGGAAACCUCUUUCAGCAAAAUGACGUGGUCAGCUCCUGUGUCUGAGCACGUAGGCUUUGCUUCCUGCCCUUCCAUGUAAUCAGCAGUGACUCAAUUUUUUGACAUUCAAAGCUUACAGCAGUGUGGCACCACAUCCUGCCCAUUCAGUUUGAGCUUUAUAUGGACCAGCAGUUGCAUUUUCAUCAUCAUAAUUGACAUGUCUUGGUGCAGCCAUUUACCUCUUUACUGUUUGUGGCAGUUUCCCUUUUUAUCACCCUAAACAGACUAUAGCAAUGUCAAUAUCAUAUGCACACCAUUUUGUUCACUCAGAGCAGGGUGGUGUCAUCCAUGUGGUAAGAUUCACCAGAACUUCCUCCUUUGUCACCUUGAUCUGUUCUCUGGGUUCAGACUGACUGUAGUUCUGUGGAUGCUUUCAAUACAUGUGCUCUGUGUCGUUUAUCAUUGUGUAACAUCAUUGAAAUCUACCCUCCUCUAAAUGUCGUGUUUUGCUUAAUUCUAAUUUCAGAAUAUAUUAGUACUUCUGUUACUCCUUAUUUAUUUCUUAUUAGAGUUGUGAUAUCCUCUACCUUUCACUGUCCAAGAAAUCAGGGACCCACAGCAAGUAGGAAUGUUGCUGACACCUUACACAGUCAAAUAAUUGAUAGAUAAUCAAUUUAAAAUUCCAGUGACAUGGCAAAAUUUUCUGCACCUGUAAAGUGGGGCAAGCUCCUCUAAUUUUUGCUGUGUGAGACUGAAUGGACUGUGGAAGGGGCAGCACAUUGAGAUAGCCACAACCUGAAGUCAAAUUUGGUGGCUUCCAACCCCAUGAUGCUAAGGGUAAAUUGAUAUGUCACUGCAAAACAUUGGCAGAAUGUGUCUCCUUCCCAACGAGUUAAAAUUUCAUAGAGUGGCUGAGAUACUAGUUACAGCGCUCCUAGCGGCAACCAACGCUAACUCGGCUGCCAUGUUCUCCUUAGUCAAAACAUUAGGAAAGCGUUACUGUUGUUUGUGUUGGAAGUGUGUUAGCUGUUGUGAUAUUACUGCAAUAUUUAACUUUUCUAGUUGACUUUUUUGUUACAAAAUAUAAAGUCAACAUGCCUGCAGUGUGUUCAGCGUUCCACUACACAAAUCGCAGCGAUAAAACAACAAAUAUUUCAUAUAAUAAGUAAGUAUAUUAGUACCGAAAUAUGACACACGUUUUUUAUUGUUUAUUAAAGAGUCAUCUGCAUUGGAACUGUAAUUAUGCUUAAGACAAAUGCAGGAAGUAAUUUACUUAUCGUUGAUUACAGAUUUCCUUUAAAAGAUAAGGAAAUUACAAAAAGAUGGGUUAUAAAUAUGAAGCGAGAAAAAUGGUUUCCUACUACAGCCAGUUACCUCUGUUCAGCUCAUUUUGAAGAGAAAUAUAUGUACCACACAAAUGUCCAGAGGUGCCUUUUGUCAAAACCAGUACCUACUAUCUUUAACUUUCCACCACAUUUACAAAAGCAAGAUAAAGUAUUACGACCACAACCCAGAAAGCGAUCUUUCGACAAUUUGCAAGAUAGUGCUAUUACAGUGACAUCAUUAGCACAAAUGCCUGUCGGACCCACAUCUGUUUCUGCUGACCACAAUUACUGUCUACCAAGCCCUAAGAAGUUGAAAACACAAUAUAACAGAGUACAAGCAGAGAAUGUGCGACUAAAGAAGCGGAUAAAGCAAAUGAAGCAACUUAGUGUACGACACAAAAGAAGAAUAGUGCAGUUACAGACUUUAGUUGCUGGUUUGAGAAGAAGGCUAUGUAGUUCAGUUUCUGAUAUGUUUAACAGUGAACAUGUAGUUGGUUUGUUGAAGGAGCUAUUGGAACUUCAGUGCAGUGCUAAAGUAUGCCAUUAUUCUCAGCAAAUAAGGAAAUUUGCCCUGACCCUACACUUUUAUUCUGCCAAGGCAUACAGCUACUUACGAAAAUUUGUGAAAUUACCCCACCCAAGAACGCUUCGACUUUGUUAUUGAAUUACUAUGCUUGUGUUAACUACUUGUAACACAUAUUUCAAAUAAAUUCUCGUUCACAGUG